UAUGGUUCCUUAGAUCGCACUUACUACUUGGAUAACUGUGGUAAUUCUAGAGCUAAUACAUGCGCAGAGCCCCAACCUUCGUGGAAGGGGCGCUUUUAUUAGAUCAAAGCCAAUCGAGUUUCGGCUCGUUUCUUUGGUGACUCUGAAUAACUUUGCUGAUCGCAUGGUCUCGUACCGGCGACGUAUCUUUCAAGUGUCUGCCUUAUCAACUUUCGAUGGUAGGUUAUGUGCCUACCAUGGUUGUAACGGGUAACGGGGAAUUAGGGUUCGAUUCCGGAGAGGGAGCCUGAGAAACGGCUACCACA
This 305-nucleotide ribosomal RNA is filed under the name uncultured eukaryote. RNAcentral describes it as "SSU rRNA". It matches the Rfam family "Eukaryotic small subunit ribosomal RNA", at positions 111 to 414 of the family's 1831-position model. The record is from RNAcentral.